AUACUUACUUUUCUUUUUUUUCCCAUUUCAAAUUUCAAACCACCAACUUUAUCUUCUUUCUCUUUUUAUUCCUCUCUUCUCUCCCACCGUGGUUAAAAAUCUCCCACCACCGACAAAAUCUUCGUCGCCACUUCAAAAUCCAUAAACACCAUGACUAAAUCCCUCACCGCCGAGACGAUUUCAGAAGCUGCCGCGACGAAACCCCUCGCACUCUCUAUUUAUAGCUUUUCCACCCCAAGCUCACUUUCUGGACAGGUUUUCUCCACAUCUUCGAUUCGUUAUUCUUUGUACAUUGUUUCUUAUUCGUGUUUCGCAUCUACAAAGUUUUUCUUCAGGUCCCUUAGAUCUAAAUGCCACUUUUGUUUAUCAGAUUUACGUUUUCACAUAUAUUUGCUCUAUAGUAGUGUUAAACCUUCCAUUUCGAGUUAGUUUUAUACCCGUCCACUUUAUGUUACAGAAGUUCUAUUCAAUUUCGGCAUAAAUCAGACCCAAGAAAUAUGUUAAAAUUUUGACUAUUAAUAGUUGUUUACUUUUUGUCAAAUCUCUGUGUACCUAUUUUUCUAUUAAUAGUUGUCUACCUCUCGUUUCGUUUUCAGAAUGGCCAACAUUCCUCUAGCUACAGAUGCAUCCCCUAUUGAACCUCUACGUGUAUCGUUGAAUCAUGUGCUUCUAAAUUUAUUGCGGUCAACUUAGAUGUUAGUUGUUUUCUAUUAAUAGUUGUCUACUUUAUCUUUGUUCAGAUCGCUUAAUAGUAGUCUACUUUAAUAGUUGUCUACGUUAUCUUUGUUUUCUGCUAAAAGUUGUCUUAUAUUUGUCUACUAAUAGUUGUCUACUUUAUUAG
Molecule: long non-coding RNA, 841 nt
Filed under: Eutrema salsugineum
Lineage: Eukaryota; Viridiplantae; Streptophyta; Magnoliopsida; Brassicales; Brassicaceae
Description: long non-coding RNA (ESAL_LNC001294)
Source: RNAcentral